ACGCUGGCGGCGUGCCUAAUACAUGCAAGUAGAACGCUGAAGGAGGAGCUUGCUUCUCCGGAUGAGUUGCGAACGGGUGAGUAACGCGUAGGUAACCUGCCUGGUAGCGGGGGAUAACUAUUGGAAACGAUAGCUAAUACCGCAUAAGAGUAGAUGUUGCAUGACAUUUGCUUAAAAGGUGCAAUUGCAUCACUACCAGAUGGACCUGCGUUGUAUUAGCUAGUUGGUGGGGUAACGGCUCACCAAGGCGACGAUACAUAGCCGACCUGAGAGGGUGAUCGGCCACACUGGGGCUGAGACACGGCCCAGACUCCUACGGGAGGCAGCAGUAGGGAAUCUUCGGCAAUGGACGGAAGUCUGACCGAGCAACGCCGCGUGAGUGAAGAAGGUUUUCGGUUCGUAAAGCUCUGUUGUAAGAGAAGAACGAGUGUGAGAGUGGAAAGUUCACACUGUGACGGUAUCUUACCAGAAAGGGACGGCUAACUACGUGCCAGCAGCCGCGGUAAUACGUAGGUCCCGAGCGUUGUCCGGAUUUAUUGGGCGUAAAGCGAGCGCAGGCGGUUAGAUAAGUCUGAAGUUAAAGGCUGUGGCUUAACCAUAGUACGCUUUGGAAACUGUUUAACUUGAGUGCAAGAGGGGAGAGUGGAAUUCCAUGUGUAGCGGUGAAAUGCGUAGAUAUAUGGAGGAACACCGGUGGCGAAAGCGGCUCUCUGGCUUGUAACUGACGCUGAGGCUCGAAAGCGUGGGGAGCAAACAGGAUUAGAUACCCUGGUAGUCCACGCCGUAAACGAUGAGUGCUAGGUGUUAGACCCUUUCCGGGGUUUAGUGCCGCAGCUAACGCAUUAAGCACUCCGCCUGGGGAGUACGACCGCAAGGUUGAAACUCAAAGGAAUUGACGGGGGCCCGCA
This 908-nucleotide ribosomal RNA is filed under the name uncultured bacterium. Its description in RNAcentral is "bacterial SSU rRNA". It matches the Rfam family "Bacterial small subunit ribosomal RNA", at positions 33 to 925 of the family's 1533-position model. The record is from RNAcentral.